Molecule: ribosomal RNA, 775 nt
Filed under: uncultured Neocallimastigales
Lineage: Eukaryota; Fungi; Neocallimastigomycota; Neocallimastigomycetes; Neocallimastigales
Description: partial large subunit ribosomal RNA
Rfam family: Eukaryotic large subunit ribosomal RNA
Source: RNAcentral
AGAGAGAGACAUGCGCGCAUAUCAAUAAGCGGAGGAAAAGAAACUAACAAGGAUUCCCUUAGUAUCGGCGAGUGAAGCGGGAAGAGCUCAAAUUUGAAAUCUUCAAGGUUUUACCUUGACGAAUUGUAGUUUAAAGAAGUGUUUUCUGCUGAAGUUUUGGUAAAAGUUCUUUGGAAUAGGACAUCAUAGAGGGUGAGAAUCCCGUAUUUGACCAUUAUUUCCAGCUUUGUGAUACACUUUCAAAGAGUCGGAUUGUUUGGGAAUGCAGUCCAAAAUGGGUGGUAAAUUUCAUCUAAAGCUAAAUAUUGGCGAGAGACCGAUAGCGAACAAGUACCGUGAGGGAAAGAUGAAAAGAACUUUGAAAAGAGAGUUAAACAGUACGUGAAAUUGUCAAAAGGGAAGCGUUUGACACCAGUGUUGUUUUCUCGAAAAUCAAUUAAAAAUGGCUCGAUUUUGUAUUGUUGAGACCUUAAAAGCUCACUGUACAUUUUUCGUGUCUUUUUUAAUGCACCUUUUCGUUUAACAAGUCAACAUCAGUUUCUUUUGUUGUAAAAGGGUCAUUGGAAGGUGGCUUUCUUUUCGGAGAAAGUGUUUAUAGCCUUUGGCCUCUGCAAUCGAAGAGACUGAGGUCUGCAGCGUAGACUCUUCGGGGUUAGAUACAUUUGUGCUAAGUUAUAGCUUUUUAUAGACAACUUGUUGACUAUAAUUAGUCUUGUAGCUUACUCGCUUAUGCUAUUUUACCUACGCUUAGGAUGUUGAAGAUGUAGCACAUCAU